UAAAUUCCUCAAACCUGAAAAGCACACCAAAUUUGACCUAAAUCCUUCACCCAAAAAACCAUUCUCAACCAAAAUCAAACAAAAACAAUACUUAUAACACGAAAUCAAACAUAAAUCUGAAAGAUCAAAACAAACCCUAAAUUCUAUAAUGGGAAUUCAGUCAGAUUCAAACAUAACAACCAUAUGGAUUCAACUACAACAAGGAGAGGAUAAAAUUAACUACCACGCUGAACCUUACCAGGGGAAGGUCCGCUUAGGUAACUUGUUUCCUUCCUCUUUUCUUU
Molecule: long non-coding RNA, 284 nt
Filed under: Lathyrus oleraceus (garden pea)
Lineage: Eukaryota; Viridiplantae; Streptophyta; Magnoliopsida; Fabales; Fabaceae
Description: Pisum sativum (pea) long non-coding RNA (PSAT_LNC014659)
Source: RNAcentral